GACGAACGCUGGCGGCGUGCUUAACACAUGCAAGUCGAACGGAAAGGCCCCUUUGGGGGUACUCGAGUGGCGAACGGGUGCGUAACACGUGAGUAACCUGCCCUUGACUUCGGGAUAACUUCAGGAAACUGGGGCUAAUACCGGAUAGGAAUCAUUGCUGCAUGGUGGGGGUUGGAAAGCUUCGGCGGGUUUGGAUGGACUGGCGGCUUAUCAGCUUGUUGGUGGGGUAGUGGCUUACCAAGGCGUUGACGGGUAGCCGGCCUGAGAGGGCGACCGGCCACAUUGGGACUGAGAUACGGCCCAGACUCCUACGGGAGGCAGCAGUGGGGAAUAUUGCACAAUGGGCGGAAGCCUGAUGCAGCAACGCCGCGUGCGGGAUGACGGCCUUCGGGUUGUAAACCGCUUUCAGCAGGGGCGAAGCUUGUGGUGACGGUACCUGCAGAAGAAGCACCGGCUAACUACGUG
RNAcentral lists this ribosomal RNA (465 nucleotides) under uncultured bacterium. Its description in RNAcentral is "partial 16S ribosomal RNA". It matches the Rfam family "Bacterial small subunit ribosomal RNA", at positions 28 to 507 of the family's 1533-position model. The record is from RNAcentral.